CAGCAGCCACAGUAAUACGUAGGUGGCAAGCGUUGUCCGGAAUUAUUGGGCGUAAAGGGCUCGCAGGCGGUUUCUUAAGUCUGAUGUGAAAGCCCCCGGCUCAACCGGGGAGGGUCAUUGGAAACUGGGAAACUUGAGUGCAGAAGGGGAGAGUGGAAUUCCACGUGUAGCGGUGAAAUGCGUAGAGAUGUGGAGGAACACCAGUGGCGAAGGCGACUCUCUGGUCUGUAACUGACGCUGAGGUGCGAAAGCGUGGGGAGCAAACAGGAUUAGAUACCCCGGUAGUCCCUGUCUCUUAUAC
RNAcentral lists this ribosomal RNA (301 nucleotides) under uncultured bacterium. RNAcentral describes it as "partial 16S ribosomal RNA". It matches the Rfam family "Bacterial small subunit ribosomal RNA", at positions 509 to 807 of the family's 1533-position model. The record is from RNAcentral.